This 497-nucleotide ribosomal RNA is filed under the name uncultured bacterium. RNAcentral's name for it is "partial 16S ribosomal RNA". It matches the Rfam family "Bacterial small subunit ribosomal RNA", at positions 28 to 507 of the family's 1533-position model. The record is from RNAcentral.
GAUGAACGCUGGCGGCGUGCCUAAUACAUGCAAGUCGAGCGAACGGACGAGAAGCUUGCUUCUCUGAUGUUAGCGGCGGACGGGUGAGUAACACGUGGAUAACCUACCUAUAAGACUGGGAUAACUUCGGGAAACCGGAGCUAAUACCGGAUAAUAUUUUGAACCGCAUGGUUCAAAAGUGAAAGACGGUCUUGCUGUCACUUAUAGAUGGAUCCGCGCUGCAUUAGCUAGUUGGUAAGGUAACGGCUUACCAAGGCAACGAUGCAUAGCCGACCUGAGAGGGUGAUAGGCCACACUGGAACUGAGACACGGUCCAGACUCCUACGGGAGGAAGCAGUAGGGAAUCUUCCGCAAUGGGCGAAAGCCUGACGGAGCAACGCCGCGUGAGUGAUGAAGGUCUUCGGAUCGUAAAACUCUGUUAUUAGGGAAGAACAUAUGUGUAAGUAAGUGUGCACACCUUGACGGUACCUAAUCAGAAAGCCACGGCUAACUCCGUG